RNAcentral lists this long non-coding RNA (725 nucleotides) under Rattus norvegicus (Norway rat). Its description in RNAcentral is "long non-coding RNA NONRATT020367". Lineage: Eukaryota; Metazoa; Chordata; Mammalia; Rodentia; Muridae. The record is from RNAcentral.
AGUGUAGACCCUGGCCAGCCAAGACCUCCAUCAAACAGAACCGUGCAGUCACCAAAUUCAUCAGUGCCGUCUCCAGGCCUGGCAGGGCCUGUUACUAUGACUAGUGUCCAUCCCCCAAUACGUUCACCUAGUGCCUCCAGUGUUGGGAGCCGAGGAAGCUCGGGCUCUUCCAGCAAACCAGCAGGAGCGGAUUCUACUCACAAGGUCCCAGUAGUCAUGCUGGAGCCAAUUCGAAUAAAACAGGAAAACAGUGGACCACCUGAAAACUAUGAUUUUCCUGUUGUUAUAGUAAAACAAGAAUCAGAUGAAGAAUCUAGACCUCAAAAUUAGCCAGAGCUCUGCUUCUGAGGAGACGGUGUUACGGUCCGAUGCCCCUGAUAGUACAGGAGAUCAGCCUGCACUCCAUCAUGAAAACUCCCCAAAUGGAAAGUCUGAGUGGCCGGAUGCCUCCCAGAAGUCCCCUGUGCAUGUUGGAGAGACAAGAAAGGAGGAUGACCCCAAUGAAGACUGGUGUGCUGUUUGUCAAAAUGGUGGAGAACUCCUAUGCUGUGAGAAAUGUCCCAAAGUAUUCCAUCUUACUUGUCAUGUGCCCACACUGACACAUUUUCCAAGUGGAGAAUGGAUUUGUACUUUCUGCCGGGACUUAUCUAAGCCAGAAGUUGAAUAUGAUUGUGAUGCUCCCAGUCACAACUCAGAUAAAAGGAAAAGUGAAGGCCUUACUAAAC